Sciurus carolinensis (gray squirrel) is the source of this 1585-nucleotide long non-coding RNA. RefSeq lists it as uncharacterized. The record is from RefSeq and is a predicted model, not a curated record. Lineage: Eukaryota; Metazoa; Chordata; Mammalia; Rodentia; Sciuridae. The transcript is spliced from 4 exons.
GUGUUCUUCUACACAUACAGCAGUAGUGACCAUUGAAAAUCACUUCCCAUAUAUUCUGAUUUAAUAGUAUUAAAGAGAAACCAGUGACUACAGAUAUCUCAUGUGUGUCCACACAAACCAUCGUGGAAAAGGAACAAACUUGAUCUCUGCCUUCUUAAAAGGGGACUGAUCCCAUUCAUGAGGACUUCACUCUCAUGACCCAACUACCUUCCUGUGCCUCGCCUCCAAAUACCAUCAGAUUGUACAAGAUUCACUUUCUGAUUUUCUGAGGAUUAUGACUGUCCCAAAACAAUACAAAGAUUGGCUUCAUGAGGGUAAAUCUGGUGAAGACUGAGAAGAGUCCGAAAACAAACUUGUGCCAAAGAGGAUUCUUCUACACUGAAGAGUUAUGAAGUGAUGAGCUAGCAGGUUACAGAAAGUGUUCUCUCAGCACAAAUGGCAAAUUCGGGCCUCACUGUAAGGGAGGCACAGUAUUCACUACUUUACUAUUACAAUCAUGGCAUGGGCACAUCCCCCUAUGUGGACCCUGGAUGCCUACUUUUUUCCUAUAUAGCUGGUCCUCUGUGUCAUCCACGAACUCACCCACUCUCCCUAUGACUCGUGCCCUGUCCAUGCACUUCUAACUCAAUUUGCAUCUCAUAUUUCCAAUACCUCUCCUAAUGCCAGUUUCACCAUCUCAAAUCUGUACCAGUGUUUAACUUUCCUCUAAUUGUUUUCUCCGCUCUACAUCUCUUUCACGUCACAAAUUCCAUAUUGCCACAUUUCCUAAAAUGCAAAUAUGAUGUUAUUUCUUAAACAUAGGAUUUCUUGAAUUUUACCACCUGACAAUCUUUAUCUCUUCCCCACUCCAUGAACCCCAAUGGGUCUACAUACAUGAGACAUUUUAGGCAUUCUCUCCAUCCAAAAUGCUAUUUCAAACAUUCACUUCUUUGCUUAGCUUCUCUCUGAUUAGAUUGACCUUUUUUCCUUGUUUUCUGUACGGAAAUAAUCAAAUACUCCCAUAUCUACAAAAAUCACACUGUACUGUAAUGGAAAAGUUAAUGGCUCUUCCUUAGUAAUCUUGUUUGCAUUUUAAACACACUUAAUCUAGAAUUAUCAAAUUACAUUAUAAUUAUUAUUUAUGUAUAUGUUACCCCAAAAUACAUGAGAUUAUAUGGCUAUUAAAGACAAAGAAUGCAAAAACGAAUAUCUGCAACUGUCCACAUAAAUACAAUUUAUUUUUUUAUCCUCAUUGACUAUGCUUCACCAAACAUACCUGCAUCUUUCCUCAAGAUAUACAUUUAUCUUGAAAUAUCCCAGCUUAUUUUUUUGUAUGUUAAACUUCUAAUUAUCUGAAGAUGAUGUUCAAAUGUCAUUACUCUUAUGAAAAAUUUCUGCAUGGUGAAUGACACAAAAUUUUUUUAAAAUAUAUAAUUUAUUCUGCAUUGUUUCAGGAAAAAAUCUACAAUGGUAUUCUUUCGUAGCACUGUAUUUAUCAACAGGAGCACAGAUUAUUGUUAUUUAUCAAAGGAAAAAAAAUCACGACCCUAGGAUUCUCAGACUCAAUACUUUUUAUUUUAUUGUUUUUUUAUUGUAAACAAAUGGG